GUCUGGGUGGCUUAAUCGGUUAAGCAUCUGACUUUGGCUCAGGCCAUGAUCUCGCGGUUUGUGGGUUCGAGCCCCGCAUCGGGCU
This 85-nucleotide transfer RNA is filed under the name Felis catus (domestic cat). It matches the Rfam family "tRNA". From Rfam's summary of the family: Transfer RNA (tRNA) molecules are approximately 80 nucleotides in length. Their secondary structure includes four short double-helical elements and three loops (D, anti-codon, and T loops). Further hydrogen bonds mediate the characteristic L-shaped molecular structure. tRNAs have two regions of fundamental functional importance: the anti-codon, which is responsible for specific mRNA codon recognition, and the 3' end, to which the tRNAs corresponding amino acid is attached (by aminoacyl-tRNA synthetases). tRNAs cope with the degeneracy of the genetic code in two manners: having more than one tRNA (with a specific anti-codon) for a particular amino acid; and 'wobble' base-pairing, i.e. permitting non-standard base-pairing at the 3rd anti-codon position. RNAcentral also lists the same sequence under 2 other names. Lineage: Eukaryota; Metazoa; Chordata; Mammalia; Carnivora; Felidae. The record is from Rfam by way of RNAcentral.